Molecule: RNA transcript, 4565 nt
Organism: Arachis ipaensis
Lineage: Eukaryota; Viridiplantae; Streptophyta; Magnoliopsida; Fabales; Fabaceae
Gene name: putative disease resistance RPP13-like protein 1 pseudogene
Source: RefSeq, a predicted model, not a curated record
CAGCUGGAUCUGCAUAUGAAGGAAAUGAAAUAUCUUAGUUGAGAAAAGCUCUGCUGCUAAUUGCUUCUAAUCAUUUGGUUUCUGACUAAAUUCUACUUCUAAGGCUCUUAUUUAAACCAAAGAAAAUAUGGCUGCUGCUAUUGUGGGAGGGUCAUUACUCUCUGCUUCUGUUCAGGUGGUGUUGGAUAAGAUCAUUUCCAAUGAGUUCUUGGACUUCUUUAGGAGAAGGAAGCUUAAUGUUUCACUUGUUGGAAAGAUGAAGAUGACAUUGCUGAGUGUUCAAGCUGUUCUAAAUGAUGCUGAGGAGAAGCAGAUCACAAAUCCUGCUGUCAAGGAAUGGCUGAAUGAGCUCACACAAGCUGUCUUUGAUGCUGAAGAUUUGUUGGAUGAAAUCAACACUGAGGCUCUUGGAUGCAAAGUGAAAGCCAGGUAUCAAAGUCCAUCGUGCAGUGCCAAGGUGCGAAAUGUCUUUUCCUCUCGUUUCGGACGAUCAUAUGGUGUGAUCAAUUCUAAAAUGCAGACAUUAUUUGAAAGACUAGAGCACUUUGCACAGCAAAUACACAUCCUUCAACUGAAAGAAGGUGUUUCCAACAGUGUUUGGCAAGGGAUGCCCACAAGUUCUGUGGUCGACGAAUCUGUCAUUUAUGGAAGAGAUGAUGAGAGAAAGAAACUUAGAGAGUAUUUGCUGUCAGAAGAUGUUGGUGCUAGUGGCAAUAAAAUAGGAGUGAUUUCAAUUGUCGGCAUGGGAGGGAUUGGAAAAACAACCAUUGCUAAACUCCUAUACAAUGAUGAUGAAGUUAAAGACAAGUUUGAUUUAAAAGCAUGGGCAUGUGUUUCAAAGGAUUUUGAUGUUUUCAGGGUCACUAAGACUGUGCUUGAAUCGGUUACCUCAAAAACAACAAAUACUGAUAACUUGAAUACUCUGCAAGUGGAAUUGCAGCAAAGGUUGUGGCGGAAAAGAUUUUUGCUAGUGUUGGAUGACAUUCGCGGCACAAGCUAUGUUGAUUGGGCCAAUCUAAAGGAUAUUUUUAAUGCUGGAGAAAUGGGAAGUACAAUCAUUGUCACAACACGAGAUGAAAACGUUGCAAAAGCUAUGCAAACCUUUCCUAUCUUCCAUUUGACAUCUCUUGAUAGUGAAGAUUGCUGGUCUUUACUUGCUGAACACGCAUUUGGAGCAAAUAAUUCCAGUGAACGGUCCAACCUAGAAGGAAUUGGAAGAGAAAUUGUGAAAAAAUGUGAUGGUUUGCCUUUAGCUGCAGUUGCAUUGGGGGGUCUUCUUCGCACCAAAUUGUCGAAAAAUGAUUGGAAUAAGGUACUUAGAAGUAACAUUUGGGAUCUGCCAAAUUUGAAUGUGCAACCUGCUCUGCUACUAAGCUAUCAUUUCCUUCCGGCUACUUUGAAACGUUGCUUUGCUUACUGUUCAAUUUUUCCAAAGAACUCAGCCUUAGAAAAAGAGAUGGUAGUUCGGCUAUGGAUCGCAGAAGGCUUAGUACAUGUGUCAAAAAGUAAGAAAAUCCUGGAAGAAGUUGGUGACGAAUACUUUGAUGAACUAGUAUCAAGGUCACUAAUUCGUCGACGGUCCAUGGAUGGGAAAAGCUUCGAAAUGCAUGACCUCAUCAAUGAUUUAGCUGCAAUGGUUUCAUCUGCUUAUUGUAUCAGGUAUGAGGAUCAAAAGGCACUUGAAAAUCCGAAAAAAGUUCGACAUUUGUCAUACAACAGAAGUUGGUAUGACUAUUUCAAUAAAUUUAAUUCCUUUUAUGGUUUAGAAGGCCUGCGCACCUUCCUUCCCUUACCAUUGAAUGGAUGGUCAUUUGACUAUUACCUAUCAAACAAGGUAAUAUAUGACUUGUUGCCCAAGUUAAAACAGUUGCGGGUAUUAUCUUUGUCACACUACAAGAAUAUCUCUGAGUUACCAGACUCCAUUGGAGGUUUAAAACAUUUGCGGCAUCUAGAUCUCUCUGGCACUAACAUUAAAAGGUUGCCUUCUGUGAUUUGCAAGCUCUACAAUCUACAGACCUUGCUGUUGUCUGAUUGUAAGUUUCUCACUGAAUUACCUGAGGAGAUAGGAAUGUUGGUGAAUCUUCGCCACCUCGACAUUAGUGGAACUCAAUUGCAGGAGAUACCGGCACAAAUAGCAAGACUAGAAAAUCUCCAAACUUUAUCUGGGUUUGUUGUUAGCAGACAGCAAAAUGGAUUGAAGGUGGGAGAAUUGCAAAAAUUUCCCAAUUUGCAGGGGAAGCUCUGCAUUUCAAAGCUACAAAACAUUGUCGACCCUUGUGAUGCUUCACAAGCCAAUAUGAAGAAGAAAGAACAAAUUGAAGAUCUAUCAUUAGAAUGGGAUAGCUGCACUGCUCAAGAGUCCCAACAUCUUGUAUUGGAGCACCUGCAGCCUUCAACAAACUUGAAGAAACUAACCAUCAAAUUCUAUGGUGGAACCUGGUUUCCCAACUGGUUAGGUAAUUCCUCAUUUGCAAACAUGGUGUAUUUGUGCAUCCGAAGUUGUCACUAUUGUUCAUUACUACCACCUGUUGGACAGCUUCAUAAUCUUAAAGAACUCAUCAUAUUUGAUAUUAUCUCAGUGAAGACUAUUGGUCCUGAAUUUUAUGGAUGCUGUUCUCCUUCAUUUCAACCAUUUCCCUCCUUGGAGACACUGAGUUUUGGAGAGAUGCCGGCGUGGGAGGAAUGGAACUUCAUGGGUGGUAUAGCUACACACUUCCCUCGUCUUUCUCAUCUGUCUCUAAGCGAUUGUCCGAAACUCAAAGGAAAUUUACCCAGCAACCUUCCUUCCUUGACUAAACUUCAUUUGUCCAGUUGUUCUCUACUUGAGUCACAAUUUUCUGUUGAACUGGAUAACAGAAACAUUAUCAAUGCAUCAAAUCUAUUCAGUGAAUUAAUGCUUGGUCUUAAUUCUCUUGAACAAUUACAUAUCGAAGGCAUUCCUUCUCGGACCGCCUUCCCUAGAGAUGGUCUGCCGGAAACGUUAAGAGUUCUGUUCCUCAAAAAUUGUGAGAACUUUGAAUUUCCAAAUCAUGAAUCCCUGCGUAGUUACACGGCACUUGAAUCUUUGACAAUAUGGAAUAGUUGUUGCUCACUGACAUCAUUUCCCUUAGGCUCUCUCCCUGUGCUCAAGUGGCUCUACUUUAUAGAAUGUAAGAAUCUGAAAUCAUUUUCAAUUUCAGAAGAAGAAGAUGCACUCCAGUGUCUCACAUUUCUUCAAGGUUUCUACAUUCUAGAAUGUCCUGAACUUGAAUCAUUUCCUCAUCUUGGAUUGCCGACUCCUAAGCUCAGACGUUUUUGGGUGUCAUAUUGCAACAAGCUUAAUUCACUACCAGAACCGGUUAAUGCUCUUGUUGGCCUUCAAGAAUUGACAGUUCUUAACCUCCCAAGUAUGCAAUUUUUUGCAAAUGAAGGUCUUCCUAUCAGUUUGCGAACACUUCGAAUCGGCAAUCUUGGAGGGAUUUUCUCAAAUGCAGAUAUCAUUAAAUGGGGCCUUGACCAUCUUACUUGCCUUUCAGAGUUAGAAAUUGAAGGUGGUUAUCUGGUUAACAUGAUAAUGAAGAUGGAAGUGCCACUAUUACCCUCUACUCUUAUCUCCCUACACAUCUAUCAUCUUGAUGGUAUAAGACAUUUGGAUGGGAAAUGGCUUCAGAAUCUGACUUCUCUUGAAUGUCUUAAGAUCUCAUCUUGUGAUAGCUUGGAGUCAUUGCCACAAGAAGGAUUGCCUUCAUCUCUUUCGGUAUUGACUAUAGGGAGUUGUCCAUUGUUAGAAGCGAGUUGGUCUCACAUUUCUUCAAGGUUUCUACAUUCUAGAAUGGCCUAAAGUUGCUCACAUAGUCACAUUCCUUGCAUUAUUAUGGAUAAGAAGGUCAUCAUUUGAGUGUCUAGGUUGUAGCAAACUAUUUGUGAACCAUGCUUGUGGAGUUGGGGGAAACUUGCUGUAACUUGAUGCAGAGGAUAAUAUUCUCCAUCGGAUUUUGGUGUGUGCAUACCAUUUUUGUUUUGGAAAUAUGCAAACAUUUUUUCACUUGAUGUGGUAGUAUGUUAUAAAUUUAUGACAAAAUACAUGACUUGUAAGAGUUGUUUUAAUUAAGUUAAUUAAUCGACUGAUCUUUAUUAUUAGCAUCAAAGCAAAUAACAAUAGAAUCUUUGUAUGUAUUUGAUGGAAUAAUUUUCUUUCAUUUUUCGUUUUUUAAUUCACUUUCCUUCAUUGCGUAGGUUUUAGCAGAAAAUGCUUGAUUGCCACUACUUGAGGGGAAAAAAAUUAAUAACUUGUUAACUUAAUUGGCAGUGUUACUUGAUAAAGAGAAGCUCACAGCAUAUGGUGCAACCUCAUGCAGCCAAAUUCAGCUCAUGCAUGCAUGGUUGGCGUGACUAAAUUAAGUAGAUGAUAGUUGUAGAGUUAGUUAUUGUUACUUGCCACGUAGGAUCAGUUAGUUAGAGGCUAAGUUAGUUCACUUAGUUGUAGUUUGCUGCUAUAUAAGCCACGUGUAUCAGCUAGUUCUUAUUAAAACCACAGUAACUUUAUGUUUAAAACAUAAAGAAAUAAGAGAAAUUGUAUUGGAUUA